This 538-nucleotide long non-coding RNA is filed under the name Salmo salar (Atlantic salmon). RNAcentral describes it as "lncRNA (ENSSSAG00000085182.1)". The record is from RNAcentral. Lineage: Eukaryota; Metazoa; Chordata; Actinopteri; Salmoniformes; Salmonidae.
GUAACACACACACACACACACACACACACACUACGUCUAGUCCUUACAGGUAACACACACACACACACACACACACACACUACGUCUAGUCCUUACAGGUAACACACACACACACACUACGUCUAGUCCUUACAGGUAACACACACACACUACCCCUACAUCUAGUCCUUACAGGUAACACACACACACACUACCCCUACAUCUAGUCCUUACAGGUAACACACACACACUACCCCUACAUCUAGUCCUUACAGGUAACACACACACACUACCCCUACGUCUAGUCCUUACAGGUAACACACACACACUACCCCUACAUCUAGUCCUUACAGGUAACACACACACACUACCCCUACACCUAGUCCUUACAGGUAACACACACACACUACCCCUACACCUAGCCCUUACAGGUAACACACACACACUACCCCUACAUCUAGCCCUUACAGGUAACACACACACACUACCCCUACAUCUAGUCCUUACAGGUAACACACACACACUACCCCUACGUCUAGUCCUUACAGGUAACACACAC